Molecule: ribosomal RNA, 705 nt
Filed under: uncultured organism
Description: SSU rRNA
Rfam family: Bacterial small subunit ribosomal RNA
Source: RNAcentral
UAACACAUGCAAGUCGAGCGAAGCGGUUUCUUUGAAGUCUUCGGAUGGAUUUGAAAUUGACUUAGCGGCGGACGGGUGAGUAACGCGUGGGUAACCUGCCUUACACUGGGGGAUAACAGUUAGAAAUGACUGCUAAUACCGCAUAAGCGCACAGGGCCGCAUGGUCCGGUGUGAAAAACUCCGGUGGUGUAAGAUGGACCCGCGUCUGAUUAGGUAGUUGGUGGGGUAACGGCCCACCAAGCCGACGAUCAGUAGCCGACCUGAGAGGGUGACCGGCCACAUUGGGACUGAGACACGGCCCAAACUCCUACGGGAGGCAGCAGUGGGGAAUAUUGGACAAUGGGCGAAAGCCUGAUCCAGCGACGCCGCGUGAGUGAAGAAGCAUUUCGGUAUGUAAAGCUCUAUCAGCAGGGAAGAAAAUGACGGUACCUGACUAAGAAGCCCCGGCUAACUACGUGCCAGCAGCCGCGGUAAUACGUAGGGGGCAAGCGUUAUCCGGAUUUACUGGGUGUAAAGGGAGCGUAGACGGUUAAGCAAGUCUGAAGUGAAAGCCCGGGGCUCAACCCCGGUACUGCUUUGGAAACUGUUUGACUUGAGUGCAGGAGAGGUAAGUGGAAUUCCUAGUGUAGCGGUGAAAUGCGUAGAUAUUAGGAGGAACACCAGUGGCGAAGGCGGCUUACUGGACUGUAACUGACGUUGAGGCUC